UACGGAGGGUGCAAGCGUUAUCCGGAUUCACUGGGUUUAAAGGGCGCGUAGGCGGGCUGGUAAGUCCGUGGUGAAAUCUCCGAGCUUAACUCGGAAACUGCCGUGGAUACUAUUAGUCUUGAAUACUGUGGAGGUAAGCGGAAUAUGUCAUGUAGCGGUGAAAUGCUUAGAUAUGACAUAGAACACCGAUAGCGAAGGCAGCUUGCUACACAGUCAUUGACACUGAGGCACGAAAGCGUGGGGAGCAAACAGG
This 253-nucleotide ribosomal RNA is filed under the name uncultured bacterium. RNAcentral describes it as "partial 16S ribosomal RNA". It matches the Rfam family "Bacterial small subunit ribosomal RNA", at positions 524 to 776 of the family's 1533-position model. The record is from RNAcentral.